GAUAAACGCUGGCGGCGUGCCUAAUGCAUGCAAGUCGCACGGAUCACUGCUUUGGCAGUGGUGAGUGGCGAACGGGUGAGGAACACGUGGCCAACCUACCCCGGCGUGGGGGAUACCCGCCAGAAAUGGCGGCUAAUACCGCGUACGGUCCCGUUGUGGUGCGCAGCGGGAAGAAAGCCGGAAGGCGCGCUGGGAGGGGGCUGCGGCCGAUUAGUUAGACGGUGGGGUAACGGCCUACCGUGACGAUGAUCGGUAGCGGGUCUGAGAGGAUGAUCCG
RNAcentral lists this ribosomal RNA (277 nucleotides) under uncultured bacterium. Its description in RNAcentral is "partial 16S ribosomal RNA". It matches the Rfam family "Bacterial small subunit ribosomal RNA", at positions 28 to 307 of the family's 1533-position model. The record is from RNAcentral.